GAAAACGAAAUAGAUGCAUUUGCGUUUGACCUGAUCUAACCUCGUAUAAAGAAUGCCGUGUCGCAUCGCAUAAGUGACAUUGCCUCUGACAUCUGGCCCAUAGUGCCAAAAGGAUUAAUCGUCUCGAGGUUCCUCGAGGAUAAAGAUCGUGCCUCGCGAUUUUGGAAACUGGGUGCAGGUCAGCGGAUAUUCAAGAGAAGCACGGCAAAGAGAAAUCAGAAUAGAAUGGUGGGUUGUUAUGGAUCCUCGUGCGCCGCGCCUGUCCGUCGCGAUUCGAUCUAAUAAUCUCGAUCCAAGGGGAAGGUUUCGAAAC
Apis florea (little honeybee) is the source of this 313-nucleotide long non-coding RNA. The record is from RefSeq and is a predicted model, not a curated record. Lineage: Eukaryota; Metazoa; Arthropoda; Insecta; Hymenoptera; Apidae.